Non-coding RNA from Acanthosepion pharaonis, 113 nucleotides. The record is from the annotation of a GenBank genome assembly. Lineage: Eukaryota; Metazoa; Mollusca; Cephalopoda; Sepiida; Sepiidae.
UUACGGCCAUAUCAUGUUGAAAAAACGAUUCUCGUCCGAUCGCCGAAGUUAAGCAACGUCGUGCCUGGUUACUACCUAGAUGGGGUACCGCUUGUGAAUAACAGGUACUGUAU